This 397-nucleotide ribosomal RNA is filed under the name uncultured bacterium. Its description in RNAcentral is "bacterial SSU rRNA". It matches the Rfam family "Bacterial small subunit ribosomal RNA", at positions 30 to 429 of the family's 1533-position model. The record is from RNAcentral.
AUUGAACGCUGGCGGCAUGCCUUACACAUGCAAGUCGAACGGUAACGGGUUAAGCCGACGAGUGGCGAACGGGUGAGUAAUAUAUCGGAACGUGCCCAGUCGUGGGGGAGUAACGUAGAGAAAUUUAACGUCUAAUACCGCAUACGAUCUAAGGAUGAAAGACGGGGGAGUCGCAAGACCUCGCGCGAUUGGAGCGGCUGAUAUCAGAUUAGGUUGUUGGUGAGGUAAAAGACUCACCAAGCCGACGAUCUGUAGCUGGUUUGAGAGAACGACCAGCCACACUGGGACUGAGACACGGCCCAGACUCCUACGGGAGGCAGCAGUGGGGAAUUUUGGACAAUGGGCGAAAGCCUGAUCCAGCAAUGCCGCGUGCAGGAAGAAGGCCUUCGGUUGUAAC